Molecule: ribosomal RNA, 468 nt
Filed under: uncultured bacterium
Lineage: Bacteria
Description: partial 16S ribosomal RNA
Rfam family: Bacterial small subunit ribosomal RNA
Source: RNAcentral
GACGAACGCUGGCGGCGUGCUUAACACAUGCAAGUCGAACGGAAAGGCCCUGCUUUUGUGGGGUGCUCGAGUGGCGAACGGGUGAGUAACACGUGAGUAACCUGCCCUUGACUUUGGGAUAACUUCAGGAAACUGGGGCUAAUACCGGAUAGGAGCUCCUGCUGCAUGGUGGGGGUUGGAAAGUUUCGGCGGUUGGGGAUGGACUCGCGGCUUAUCAGCUUGUUGGUGGGGUAGUGGCUUACCAAGGCUUUGACGGGUAGCCGGCCUGCGAGGGUGACCGGCCACAUUGGGACUGAGAUACGGCCCAGACUCCUACGGGAGGCAGCAGUGGGGAAUAUUGCACAAUGGGCGGAAGCCUGAUGCAGCAACGCCGCGUGCAGGAUGACGGCCUUCGGGUUGUAAACCGCUUUCGCCUGUGACGAAGCGUGAGUGACGGUAAUGGGUAAAGAAGCACCGGCUAACUACGUG